AUCCCGGUAGUAUAGUGGUCAGUCCCCCGCCUGUCACGCGGGAGAGGGGGUUCGAUUCCCGCCGGGGAGU
This 70-nucleotide transfer RNA is filed under the name Trichonephila inaurata madagascariensis. RNAcentral's name for it is "tRNA-Asp". Lineage: Eukaryota; Metazoa; Arthropoda; Arachnida; Araneae; Nephilidae. The record is from RNAcentral.